AAUGAAGCGCCAUGGAGGGUGAGAGCCCCGUCCAUCCCGCACAGGAUCCAUUCGUACAAGGACGCUUCAACCGAGUCGGGUAGCUUGGGAAUGCUGCUCUAAUUGGUGGUAAAUCUCAUCAAAGGCUAAAUAGUGGUGGGAGACCGAUAGCGAACAAGUACCGUGAGGGAAAGAUGGAAAGAACUUUGAAAAGAGAGUGAAAAGCACUUGAAACCGUCACGGGGGAAGCGGAUUGCGUGAGUGAUGGUGUCGCUUGUUCAGCGCUUUAUUGCGUGCAUUCUGGCGGCGCCGUGCCGGCGUGGCUGGCUGGACUGUGAUUUUGACAGUCUCGGCUGGUGAGGGCUCCCUCGUAUGAGGUGAGGACGCGGGCAAAAUGACGCAAUACGACCCGUCUUGAAACACGGACCAAGGAGUCUAGCACGGCUGCGAGUCGAAGAGUGAUUAAACUCAAGGGCGCAGUGAAAGCGAAAUUAUAAGCAAAUUGGGGAGGCGUUGCGUUUUUAACAAAAUGUCCUACCUCGAGCAUUUGUGCUGGGACCCGAAAGAUGGUGAACUAUGCCGGAGUAGGGCAAAGCCAGAGGAAACUCUGGUGGAGGCUCGUAGCGAUGCUGACGUGCAAAUCGCUCGUCGAACUUGGGUAUAGGGGCGAAAGACUAAUCGAACCAUCUAGUAGCUGGUUCCCUCCGAAGUUUCUCUCAGGAUAGCGGGCCGACACGCGUUUGUUGUUUUGUGCGGUAAAGCGAAUGAUUAGUGCAUUUGGGGUACGAAGUACUUCGGGCGAUUCUCAAACUUUAAAUGCGCAAGGGGGUGGCUGCUUAAUUGAGCCUACUCUUUGAAAAACGUCGGCCCUGUGGGCCACUUUUGGUAAGCAGAACUGGCGAUAA
This 884-nucleotide ribosomal RNA is filed under the name Palmaria palmata (dulse). RNAcentral describes it as "eukaryotic LSU rRNA". It matches the Rfam family "Eukaryotic large subunit ribosomal RNA", at positions 194 to 1159 of the family's 3401-position model. The record is from RNAcentral. Lineage: Eukaryota; Rhodophyta; Florideophyceae; Palmariales; Palmariaceae.